RNAcentral lists this ribosomal RNA (350 nucleotides) under uncultured bacterium. RNAcentral describes it as "bacterial SSU rRNA". It matches the Rfam family "Bacterial small subunit ribosomal RNA", at positions 1047 to 1394 of the family's 1533-position model. The record is from RNAcentral.
GGCCGUCGUCAGCUCGUGUCGUGAGAUGUUGGGUUAAGUCCCGUAACGGGCGCAACCCCUAUUCCCUGGUUGCUAGCAGGUAAUGCUGAGAACUCCAGGGAGACUGCCGGUGACAAACCGGAGGAAGGUGGGGAUGACGUCAGGUCAUCAUGGCCCUUACGGCCAGGGCUACACACGUGCUACAAUGGCGCGUACAGAGGGCUGCCAACUCGCGAGAGUGAGCCAAUCCCUUAAAACGCGUCGUAGUCCGGAUCGGAGUCUGCAACUCGACUCCGUGAAGUCGGAAUCGCUAGUAAUCGCGAAUCAAGAAUGUCGCGGGUGAAUACGUUCCCGGGUCUUGUACACACGCA